CCUACGGGUGGCAGCAGUGAGGAAUAUUGGUCAAUGGACGAGAGUCUGAACCAGCCAAGUAGCGUGAAGGAUGACUGCCCUAUGGGUUGUAAACUUCUUUUAUAUGGGAAUAAAAUGUUCCACGUGUGGGCUUUUGUAUGUACCAUAUGAAUAAGGAUCGGCUAACUCCGUGCCAGCAGCCGCGGUAAUACGGAGGAUCCGAGCGUUAUCCGGAUUUAUUGGGUUUAAAGGGUGCGCAGGUGGAUUGUUAAGUCAGUUGUGAAAGUUUGCGGCUCAACCGUAAAAUUGCAGUUGAAACUGGCAGUCUUGAGUACAGUAGAGGUGGGCGGAAUUCGUGGUGUAGCGGUGAAAUGCUUAGAUAUCACGAAGAACUCCGAUUGCGAAGGCAGCUCACUGGACUGCAACUGACACUGAGGCUCGAAAGUGUGGGUAUCAAACAGGAUUAGAUACCCUUGUAGUC
RNAcentral lists this ribosomal RNA (460 nucleotides) under uncultured bacterium. RNAcentral describes it as "partial 16S ribosomal RNA". It matches the Rfam family "Bacterial small subunit ribosomal RNA", at positions 338 to 795 of the family's 1533-position model. The record is from RNAcentral.